AAUGGGCGAGAGCCUGACGCAGCAACGCCGCGUGCGGGAUGAAGGCCUUCGGGUUGUAAACCGCUUUCAGCAGGGAAGAAGCGAAAGUGACGGUACCUGCAGAAGAAGCACCGGCUAACUACGUGCCAGCAGCCGCGGUAAUACGUAGGGUGCAAGCGUUGUCCGGAUUUAUUGGGCGUAAAGAGCUCGUAGGCGGUUAGUCACGUCGGAUGUGAAAACCCAGUGCUUAACACUGGGCCUGCAUUCGAUACGGGCUGACUAGAGUGUUGUAGGGGAGACUGGAACUCCUGGUGUAGCGGUGAAAUGCGCAGAUAUCAGGAAGAACACCGGUGGCGAAGGCGGGUCUCUGGGCAACUACUGACGCUGAGGAGCGAAAGCGUGGGGAGCAAACAGGAUU
This 397-nucleotide ribosomal RNA is filed under the name uncultured Actinomycetes bacterium. RNAcentral's name for it is "bacterial SSU rRNA". It matches the Rfam family "Bacterial small subunit ribosomal RNA", at positions 370 to 779 of the family's 1533-position model. Lineage: Bacteria; Bacillati; Actinomycetota; Actinomycetes. The record is from RNAcentral.